This 253-nucleotide ribosomal RNA is filed under the name uncultured bacterium. RNAcentral's name for it is "partial 16S ribosomal RNA". It matches the Rfam family "Bacterial small subunit ribosomal RNA", at positions 524 to 776 of the family's 1533-position model. The record is from RNAcentral.
UACGAAGGGGGCUAGCGUUGUUCGGAAUCACUGGGCGUAAAGGGCGCGUAGGCGGCUUUAUAAGUCGGGGGUGAAAGCCUGUGGCUCAACCACAGAAUUGCCUUCGAUACUGUAGAGCUUGAGACCGGAAGAGGUAAGUGGAACUGCGAGUGUAGAGGUGAAAUUCGUAGAUAUUCGCAAGAACACCAGGGGCGAAGGCGGCUUACUGGUCCGGUUCUGACGCUGAGGCGCGAAAGCGUGGGGAGCAAACAGG